This 333-nucleotide transfer-messenger RNA is filed under the name Elusimicrobia bacterium RIFCSPLOWO2_01_FULL_54_10. It matches the Rfam family "transfer-messenger RNA". Rfam says of the family: Bacterial tmRNA, also known as 10Sa RNA or SsrA, is named for its dual tRNA and mRNA-like properties. Its role is to liberate the mRNA from a stalled ribosome. The record is from RNAcentral. Lineage: Bacteria; Pseudomonadati; Elusimicrobiota.
ACAGGGUUCGACAGGGAUGUUUGAACGCCGUAGUCGCAAGCCGGAGUUGGUCGAGGGCUCCGUUACAAAUCGACCAAAUCAAAAACGCCAACACACAAGAACUGGCGCUCGCUGCCUAAACCGCAGUGACAUUCGCCCAUCGACGCCUGCUAUUUGGGGCCGAAUGUCGACAGCAGGCUAGUCUAAAUCCGCCCGUCCUGCCGGAUUCUAGGCGAAACAACAGCGGGGCUGGCCGUCAGACGGUUCUGCUUCGUGACAGUCUGCCGGCGAGACCAAUACGAAACUAAGCUUGUAGAGACUUGACGGUCGCAUUCUUGGACGCGGGUUCGAUCA